UACGUAGGGUCCAAGCGUUAUCCGGAAUUACUGGGCGUAAAGAGUUCGUAGGCGGGAUCUUAAGUGUGAUGUGAAAUCUUGCGGCUCAACCGUAUAGACUAUAUCGCAGACUGGGAACCUUGAGGACGUGAGAGGCAAGUGGAAUUUGUAGUGUAGCAGUGAAAUGCGUAGAUAUUACAAGGAACACCAAUGGCGAAGGCAGCUUGCUGGCACGUAUCUGACGCUGAGGAACGAAAGCGUGGGGAGCGAACAGG
Molecule: ribosomal RNA, 254 nt
Filed under: uncultured bacterium
Lineage: Bacteria
Description: partial 16S ribosomal RNA
Rfam family: Bacterial small subunit ribosomal RNA
Source: RNAcentral